Molecule: ribosomal RNA, 358 nt
Filed under: uncultured bacterium
Lineage: Bacteria
Description: partial 16S ribosomal RNA
Rfam family: Bacterial small subunit ribosomal RNA
Source: RNAcentral
CCUACGGGAGGCAGCAGUGAGGAAUAUUGGUCAAUGGCCGGAAGGCUGAACCAGCCAAGCCGCGUGAGGGAGGAAGGCGCAGAGCGUCGCAGACCUCUUUUGCCGGGGGACAAAAGGCCGGACGGGUCCGGUUCUGCGGGUACCCGGAGAAAAAGCAUCGGCUAACUCCGUGCCAGCAGCCGCGGUAAUACGGAGGAUGCGAGCGUUAUCCGGAUUCAUUGGGUUUAAGGGGUGCGCAGGCGGGCCUUUAAGCCGGCGGUGAAAUCGCGGGGCUCAACCCCGCCGAGCCGUCGGAACUGGGGGAGUGGAGGGCGGCGGUGGCAGGCGGAAGGCGCGGUGGGGGGGGGAAAGGCAUAGA